CCACGGGUUAGGCAAACCUGGCGAAAGCCAGGGGCGCUAAAGCUAUGGGUCUAAGGCUUUAACAAAUAAAGCUACGAUUGCCAGGCUAUAACG
RNAcentral lists this non-coding RNA (93 nucleotides) under Desulfoscipio geothermicus. RNAcentral describes it as "GEMM cis-regulatory element". It matches the Rfam family "c-di-GMP-I riboswitch aptamer". Rfam says of the family: GEMM was predicted in a large-scale screen for bacterial structured RNA regulatory elements. Lineage: Bacteria; Bacillati; Bacillota; Clostridia; Eubacteriales; Desulfallaceae. The record is from RNAcentral. RNAcentral also lists the same sequence under 1 other name.